UACGUAGGGGUCAAGCGUUGUCCGGAUUUAUUGGGCGUAAAGCGCCCGCAGGCGGCUUGCCAAGUUCGAUGUGAAAUCUCCCGGCUCAACUGGGAGGGUGCAUCGAAAACUGGCAGGCUUGAGGCAGGGAGAGGGAUGUGGAAUUCCAGGUGUAGUGGUGAAAUGCGUAGAGAUCGGCAGGAACACCCAGGGAGAAAUCAGCCGCCUGGGCAAGUGCUGACGCUGAGGUGCGAAAGCGUGGGGAGCGAACCGG
Molecule: ribosomal RNA, 253 nt
Filed under: uncultured bacterium
Lineage: Bacteria
Description: partial 16S ribosomal RNA
Rfam family: Bacterial small subunit ribosomal RNA
Source: RNAcentral